Ipomoea nil (Japanese morning glory) is the source of this 302-nucleotide long non-coding RNA. RefSeq lists it as uncharacterized. Lineage: Eukaryota; Viridiplantae; Streptophyta; Magnoliopsida; Solanales; Convolvulaceae. The record is from RefSeq and is a predicted model, not a curated record. The transcript has 2 exons.
UUCAUUGCAGUGGCUAUGUUGACCAGUGGGCAGAGUAUCCUUGAUAUGUUCCCUCAAAAGGGUUAGCUGAGUUAUGGAAAAAUGGGGGAGUGGCGAUUCUAUAAGAGACCUUCAGAGGGCUCCACUAAGUGUCCAUGAAAGUGUGGUAUGAUUAACGUUCUCUCUAAGCCAGUUAAACUCAUCACUUUGAAAUACUAGUUUCUCCAUGAUUUAUUUUAUGCAGCUCAACCCAUAAAAAGAUGAUUAUUCAUUGUUGAAGCUGCAUUAUAGUAAAUAUAAAGAGAAAGCUCUGAUUUUGUAAA